UACGUAGGGUCCGAGCGUUGUCCGGAAUUACUGGGCGUAAAGAGCUCGUAGGUGGUUUGUCGCGUUGUUCGUGAAAACUCACAGCUCAACUGUGGGCGUGCGGGCGAUACGGGCAGACUGGAGUACUGCAGGGGAGACUGGAAUUCCUGGUGUAGCGGUGGAAUGCGCAGAUAUCAGGAGGAACACCGGUGGCGAAGGCGGGUCUCUGGGCAGUAACUGACGCUGAGGAGCGAAAGCAUGGGGAGCAAACAGG
RNAcentral lists this ribosomal RNA (253 nucleotides) under uncultured bacterium. RNAcentral's name for it is "partial 16S ribosomal RNA". It matches the Rfam family "Bacterial small subunit ribosomal RNA", at positions 524 to 776 of the family's 1533-position model. The record is from RNAcentral.